UGGGGAAUAUUGCACAAUGGGCGAAAGCCUGAUGCAGCAACGCCGCGUGAGGGACGACGGCCUUCGGGUUGUAAACCUCUUUUAGCAAGGAAGAAGCGAAAGUGACGGUACUUGCAGAAAAAGCGCCGGCUAACUACGUGCCAGCAGCCGCGGUAAUACGUAGGGCGCAAGCGUUAUCCGGAAUUAUUGGGCGUAAAGAGCUCGUAGGCGGUUUGUCGCGUCUGCUGUGAAAACCCGAGGCUCAACCUCGGGCCUGCAGUGGGUACGGGCAGACUAGAGUGCGGUAGGGGAGAUUGGAACUCCUGGUGUAGCGGUGGAAUGCGCAGAUAUCAGGAAGAACACCGAUGGCGAAGGCAGAUCUCUGGGCCGUAACUGACGCUGAGGAGCGAAAGGGUGGGGAGCAAAACAGGCUUAGAUACCCUGGUAGUCCACCCCGUAAACGUUGGGAACUAGUUGUGGGGUCCAUUCCACGGAUUCCGUGACGCAGCUAACGCAUUAAGUUCCCCGCCUGGGGGAGUACGGCCGCAAGGCUAAAACUCAAAUGAAUUGACGGGGUCAUAGCUGUUUCCU
RNAcentral lists this ribosomal RNA (570 nucleotides) under uncultured bacterium. RNAcentral describes it as "partial 16S ribosomal RNA". It matches the Rfam family "Bacterial small subunit ribosomal RNA", at positions 355 to 1375 of the family's 1533-position model. The record is from RNAcentral.